Molecule: long non-coding RNA, 364 nt
Filed under: Homo sapiens (human)
Lineage: Eukaryota; Metazoa; Chordata; Mammalia; Primates; Hominidae
Description: non-protein coding lnc-FEZ2-2:1
Source: RNAcentral
GCUAACACACAUAGAGAGAAAAUACACAAACAAACAGUGUUUGAUCCUGCUUUGCUGCAGGGUGUUUUCAUCUUUCAAGAGACCAAGGGAAAAACAACCUCAGAACUUUACCACCAAAACUUCCAAAUUUAUUGCAACACAACGUAACGGCAAAAUACUAUUUUCUUAGCACACGCAAUUUUGAGCAACCACCACGGCCAAGAAUGCUUGUUUUUAUUUUUACAAUAAGUCCAAAGAAAAUUUUUAAUUCCACUCUUGAUUUAGGAAUGGCAAAGAUGCUGUGGGUUGUUUGGAGAAAACUGUCAUGUCUAAUUAUUCAGUCUUAUCCUCUCUCUUUAACCUGUGCUUGAGGCGUUUAUUUCAU